ACGUGCAGGGCUGCACCGCGCAGGCCUCACCCACAGACUCCUGCGUCCACAGGAGGCCGGAGGAGACGGGAUGCCCUGGGAAUUUCACCAGGGGAGGAUGGGGAUUGUCCAGCCCUGACUCCUGAGCCACCUCUUCUCACCUGUAGCUCUUUGUAGGAAGUGCGAGGAGCUUGCUUGUUGGGUAUGUCUGUCUUGCUGUGCGUGAUCCGUGGCAGGAGGCUCCCCUGUCGGACUGUGCAGGCGUUUGCUAAUGGAGGGAUUUUUCCUGUUGAGCUGGAGUGUGUUAGGCGCUUUGGGUCUAUGUUGUUGCAGCUCUUUGAACACCAAUUGCUCCUGUGGCUGCUGAACAAGUUGGCUUCUUUUUCAGAGGCUUCUUUCGCUCUUUUUUUUGGCUCUUCUUUGGCUCUCUUGAGGUUUUGAAGAGGUAUAGUUCAUCUGCUGGGCUGUCAGGUCAGGGAGCCUGCAAUGUUCCACCUUGUUGCCCUCACUGAAAAUAAUCUGCAACUAGCUCUGCAAUCUCCUUGUGCCUUUUCUUGGGCAGGGCUGGAACAUAGAUGGUUCUGCACCAGUUUAGGUUCAGGUCAACCGCAGUGGCGCUGGCUGGCUGACAGAAGUCUGAGAGUGGCUUUGCUCCCAUGUCUGCUUUUCAUCAGAGAUGUCCCCAGCGUCAGGUUCUUGGGAUUCACGUACUCGUGAUGGUUGUAAGUGCUGUCCAGGAGACUAGCCUCCUUUUCUGCCUUAGACUUUAUUGCAGAAAGCAUUUCUCACCUGUUAACUAAUAUAGUGCCCUCUACUUGGGGCUCUCUUGGAAGAGCAUUUGGGACCUUCAGUCAAUGCAGAAUGUGGGAACCCCUUUUUUUAGUUGCAUACAUUUUAUAUGAGUAUUUUUUUUACCUGUGCUCUACACUGAUUCCUAGCUGAUUUUUUUUUCUAGUUGCAGUUCCAGGUGUUAGGAUCAAUUAGCUGUAAGUAUCCUGGAACCUAAAUGGUCUUUCUGGUAACUAUUUCCUGGUAGUCUGAAAGAGAACAGGUGGGCUGCUCUUGCUCUUGGUUUCAAGCCUUGCUCUUUUAGAAGCUGGUAUGUGGGCACUGGAUGAGGUCUUCAACCAUAGACCUUGUUCCCCUCCACGAUAAGUCACAGCCUGAGUUUAGUGGCCUUCCGAGCACUGCAUACGAUGUAUUCACUUGCUACAGUAAAGAAGCUGUCUUGGUAGUGAGAGAAGGAAUUGUUUGUUGAAACCAUAGCUAAAGAUGCUUAUGUAUAUGCCCAGCAAGGAAAAAGGAAAACUCUUCAGAGAAAAGACUUGGAUAAUGCCAUUGAAGCCAUUGAUGAGUUUGCUUUUCUGGAAGGCACUUUGGACUGACCUGGCCAGGAAAGGAGUUAUAUGAAGAAAGGGACUGGGACCACCUGCUGGGAAGACACGUGGGAUGAGAUUUUCAAAACAGUCAAUGGGAAUGGGACUCAUCUACUUAGUUUAAAUAAUGAUGUCUGUGUUUUACAGACUGCUUUGAGUGUCUCAAUCAUAAUGUUUUGUAUAAAGUUUAAGUUGUUAUAGUUCUUUAUUUUAAAUACAUAUUUUUCAUAAAUACUUUGUAUGCCAGUGUACUGUGUCCUCCAGGUCACAUUUCAAAGAUCAUCUCAAACUUGGUGUAUAAGACAGCAAUAGCUCAGUAUAGCAAUGCUGUAUUUGCGUCUAUUCUAAAAUUCUCCAUUGAUAAAAAGCUUUGAGGAUGGAUUGAACCUGCCUCUGAGGUCUGAUUAUAGUUGUUAUUUUUAUGGAAAUGUAUUUCUUUUUUGUAUGUUUGUCUCUUGGCCAAACAGAAUUCAACAUUUCUUGACUAAUAAAUAUGCUGCCCUGAGUCUUUUCUGGGGAGGGCGGCAUAUAUAGUU
Long non-coding RNA from Gavialis gangeticus (Gharial), 1891 nucleotides. RefSeq lists it as uncharacterized. The transcript has 4 exons. The record is from RefSeq and is a predicted model, not a curated record. Lineage: Eukaryota; Metazoa; Chordata; Crocodylia; Gavialidae.